GUCUAGUAAAGCACUUUACCGUGAAACUGCGAAUGGCUCAUUAAAUCAGUUAUCGUUUAUUUGAUAGUACCUUUACCUGGAUAACCGUGGUAAUUCUAGAGCUAAUACAUGCUAAAAACCCCGACUUCGGAAGGGGUGUAUUUAUUAGAUAAAAAACCAAUGCCCUUCGGGGCUCCUUGGUGAUUCAUAAUAACUUAACGAAUCGCAUGGCCUUGUGCCGGCGAUGGUUCAUUCAAAUUUCUGCCCUAUCAACUUUCGAUUGUAGGAUAGAGGCCUACAAUGGUCUUAACGGGUAACGGGGAAUUAGGGUUCUAUUCCGGAGAGGGAGCCUGAGAAACGGCUACCACAUCCAAGGAAGGCAGCAGGCGCGCAAAUUACCCAAUCCCGAUACGGGGAGGUAGCGACAAUAAAUACUGAUACGGGGCUCUUUCGGGUCUCGUAGUUGGAAUGAGUACAAUCUAAAUCCCUUAACGAGGAACAAUUGGAGGGCAAGUCUGGUGCCAGCAGCCGCGGUAAUUCCAGCUCCAAUAGCGUAUAUUAAAGUUGUUGCCGUUAAAAAGCUCGUAGUUGAACCUUGGCCCUGGCUGAUCUGUCCUCCUAAUCGAGCGCACGGAUUCGGUCGGGGCUUUCCUUCUGGGGAGCCCCAUGCCCUUCACUGGGUGUGGCGGGGAACCAGGACUUUUACCUUGAAAAAAUUAGAGUGUUCAAAGCAGGCCUUUGCUCGAAUACAUUAGCAUGGAAUAAUAGAAUAGGACAUCGGUUCUAUUUUGUUGGUUUCUAGGACCGCUGUAAUGAUUAAUAGGGACAGUCGGGGGCGUCAGUAUUCAAUUGUCAG
This 835-nucleotide ribosomal RNA is filed under the name Ascomycota sp. ROV02Q2OSA-02. RNAcentral describes it as "SSU rRNA". It matches the Rfam family "Eukaryotic small subunit ribosomal RNA", at positions 57 to 908 of the family's 1831-position model. The record is from RNAcentral. Lineage: Eukaryota; Fungi; Ascomycota.